UGAUAAACAGGGCAUCUGAGGCAAAAAGAGAGACGGGGCAUCUGAAACUCAACCUUUUGUUUCCUGCGCAAAUUCUACACAUUUGCAUAGCAAUCAUUAAAUGGCUGAGCACUCUUAGCAUUGGUCUUAGAUCAUGGCAGCAUCAAAUAGAUGAAAAGUUAUACUGGAAACACAAGCCAUACAUCACAAUCUAGCAGACACAAGCUCUCAUGUACGCAAGAAGAGCAACUGCAACUAGUAAACAACAAAAGAGAUUUCUUUAUCAAGUACAUAGCCCUUGGCAUAUCAGAAAGCAUAAUUUCCUCACACUUGAAAUAUCGUAUUUUGCUUGAAGAUACUUUAUUUCUCGAUUUAAACAUGAUAUCAUUUAAGACAUCAAAAAAUCUAAUUGCACUAAAAAGUAGCAAUUCCCAGAACUGUUAAUCUUAGGGCAAAUAGAAAGAAUACAGAAAUGUCAAACAAGUCACAAAGAAUCUAAGAAAAAGGAAAUAAAGCAGAGAAAGAAAGAAUUAAUAUAAACUUGACUUCUUGACACUUUCAGAAACUUCGCUUUCUUCCAUUAGACUAGGAAAAGGUCAGAAAAGAUGGAAAAUCAGUUCCACAAACCUCCAUUUUUUUUUUUCAUUAUGCACGGGUCACAUAAAGGGAGCAUAUUGAAAACUUCUCUGCAACUUCUGCAGCCAACAAUCCAGUCCUCUACCACUGUUCAAGAAGAACAUCAAGGGAGCAUAUAUGAGAUGGAAAAUCAGUUCCACAAACCUCCAUUUUUAUUUUUUUUUCAUUAUGCACAGGUCACAUAAAGGGAGCAUAUUGAAAACUUCUCUGCAACUUCUGCAGCCAACAAUCCAGUCCUCUACCACUGUUCAGAAAAGAUGGAAAAUCAGUUCAACAAACCUCCAUUUUUUUUUUUCAUUAUGCACGGGUCACAUAAAGGGAGCAUAUUGAAAACUUCUCUGCAACUUCUGCAGCCAACAAUCCAGUCCUCUACCACUGUUCAAGAAGAACAUCAAGAGCUUGUCUUGUUGCCUAUGAAAGCACAAGGAGAAAAACAACACAAGCAUAUCAAAUUUAGAAGCUCUGUCAGAGAGACAUUGUCCUUCAGUGUAGUUUCAACAUAAAUUCUGAAAAUGCAUUUCAUGAGAAAUGUCUUCUGCUUCAAGCUAACUGAUUGAGAGUAUAUAUGAGAUUGAUCAAGGCAUAUACUACGUAAAUUCAACAAGUUUUGCUCACUUGAAGUUGCUGAGAAUCUCACAUGGAAAAAGAGGCUUCUAUUGGAUUGGCCACCUCCAACUUUUCUAACAGUAUUUUCAUAUAUACCCCUGUAAGAAAGGAACCUUUGUUUUUAUUAUGCUCCACAAGAUAACAAAAGGGCCAAUAUUCUUCGCACCAACUAUUUUUACUGUCCACGAAGUCAUUUAUAGUAGUGAACUGCACCACAGAAGAGAUGAUCUCUACCAGAAACUAGGCUUAAAUAUGUGUAAAUAUGGUCAUUGUAUGAAGAAAUCUCCCAAGGAGCAGGUUCUUACAUCUUAAAAGGUAAUCAAUGUUCACAGUGCAUUAUUAUACCAAAUAAGUAUACCAAUAGUCUAGUUGACAUAUAGCCUAAGAAAACAGUGUUAGGAACCUCACAAAAG
RNAcentral lists this long non-coding RNA (1634 nucleotides) under Eucalyptus grandis. RNAcentral's name for it is "long non-coding RNA (EGRA_LNC002904)". The record is from RNAcentral. Lineage: Eukaryota; Viridiplantae; Streptophyta; Magnoliopsida; Myrtales; Myrtaceae.